UGAUGACUUGGGAAUAAAUAUCGGACA
This 27-nucleotide unclassified non-coding RNA is filed under the name Mus musculus (house mouse). RNAcentral's name for it is "oocyte_clustered_small_RNA13301". Lineage: Eukaryota; Metazoa; Chordata; Mammalia; Rodentia; Muridae. The record is from RNAcentral.